CCGAAAAUGGCGCACUCGUUCAAUUGUUGAAAGUCAUGGAGUGUGGGAGGUUAUACUGCGAAUAAAAUAUAUACUAUGCCAUACAGUCCUACAUUCAAGCGUUGCCCUUGUUUGUUGUGGAUCGGUCAGGCGGACUGCCGCGGAUCCUAACCUACAGUCAGGCGUACUGUGUUGAGGUAGGACUGACUUGGCGACUUGCGCUUAUGGCUUUGGCACUUGGCGGUCAUUAGCUAGAGAGUUGCCGGAACGCGCUUGUGCGUGUACAUAGAAGACCCUACCGAGUGAUCUUGGAGUGCAGUCACAGCGGACUGCACUGGAACGCACAUUGUAGUGAUGUAAAUUUGGGUCGAAACAUCGAUGUCGAUCUUCAUCGUUGUUUGCAAAAUGAUACAUCGAUGUUUUGUGAAACAUCGGCUAGAAACAUCGAUGCAUCGAUGUUUUCAACCCAUUCCGUUAUUUUUCGUUAAUUCAAUUUGUAGAAGCCUAUUAAAUUUUUUUACUGAGAUUUUUUAAUAUUUAAAUAAGAAGGAAUUAAGACUACAAAAAUAAAAGCUUUCUUAGUUUUUUCCUUUUUAUUUCUUCAUUGAAGGGUUUUGUUAACAAUUUUAUAAACGAACUUAAAACUAUAUCAAUUCAUGAGCAUUCAGCAGUCUUUUUCAUUACAUUGAGAAUCAAAAAUAAUACAAUAAUAAUAUAAAAAUAAAUGCUUCCUUAGCACUAUUUUUCAUUACAUUCAGAAUCAAAAAUAAUAAUAAAAACAAAAUAAUGUAACAAUAAA
Molecule: long non-coding RNA, 778 nt
Organism: Drosophila subpulchrella
Lineage: Eukaryota; Metazoa; Arthropoda; Insecta; Diptera; Drosophilidae
Exons: 3
Source: RefSeq, a predicted model, not a curated record